ACAUACAGGGCUUAUGAUGCUGUGGAUGAAAUUAGAACUGCAUUUUCAAUUGCAUUUAAUCCUGCGGGGAACAAAUCCAUAAGAGCGUUUCACGUACAUCGCCCUGGUAGGGAUUUUGAGAAGCACUCAACCCUUGAAGGAAACAAAGAAGGUCAAAUAGGUAUCAUAUCUGCCCUCGCUUUCUCUCGAGCUCAUACCAGAAUGCUGGCGACUGGUUCCUACAGCCAGACUAUUGCAAUUUACAAAGAUGAUAACUUGGAACUCUUACACAUCUUACGUAGUCAGCAUGAUGGGGUUACCCAUAAUAAAAAUGCAAUUCCGGGUGUUAUUUUUGAAAGAUUGGAAACUACUUGUAUACUGGAGGAGGAAAGGAAGAAUGCUCUAAAUCUUCUCUUUUCCUUUUCUCGGCAAUAUGUGGUAGUAGGAGUUCAGGCGUCCUCUUUGGCAUAUGCAAAGUCUACGAGAUUGGAUACACCCGAAUAUAGAGCCAGAUAUAAAAUACAACAGGAAAAGACGAGAUACACGGGGAAA
Eucalyptus grandis is the source of this 531-nucleotide long non-coding RNA. RefSeq lists it as uncharacterized. The transcript has 4 exons. The record is from RefSeq and is a predicted model, not a curated record. NCBI's taxonomy places the organism in Eukaryota, Viridiplantae, Streptophyta, Magnoliopsida, Myrtales, Myrtaceae.